UAUAAACAAUGUAAGGGGUGUGUGGGUGAUGCCAAUAGCGAGAAGUCUAUCUAAGAGGAUGAAGUGUGAGAUUGUAUCGAAGGCCACAUGCAGAUCAAGGAUGGGUAUUGAUAGAAGACCAGAAUCAGAUGCCAGAUGGCAAACCUCCAUGCUACUGAGAGGAUCCGUUUGGUACAUUUUGCCUGAGUACGUUUUGCCUGACCGAGACCAAAGGAACCUGCAGCGAUACUGUAAAGGUUCCCCGGGUUCAUCAGCAUUGUAGACCUGAUUAUCACACAGAAGCUUUAUGAGGGCAUCAAUGGUCAGAGAAGCUGCAACCUGAGGCUGAUGACACUCCCCUGCUGUAAGGAGAUAAAACCUGCCCCUCUGUGAUCCGGAGAAGCUGAAAGCACCAGUAGCACACCACCACCCCGUAGCCUCUAUGAUUCUUCCCACCAACCUUUUCAACUUUCCCACAGAGAACAGGUUACCGCUUGCAAGCCUAAGCAAGUUCAUCAAGGUUUGUCUUAAAUUCCCAAGUUGUUCGGCUUCCUCCUUCAGAAAGCCGUUGAUCAUCUUCAACAACAGUGACAGGAUAUAGAGAGUGAGGAAACACAUCCUGGAGCUGCUUAACCCCACAGGUCCAGUGGCCCCCAGUGGCUCCAUUGCUUCAGACCAGGUCACUCAUCAGCCCCCACUGUGGUGCAUUCACUUGCACACCCCCAUGCUACUGAGAGUUCGGUUCACAUCAACUGACUUAAAUGGCGUCCAUCGUCCCCAGACACAGGAAAUCUCCUGUACUCAACUGCCCUUAAGUUAUUACCUGGCCCCAAAGACUGGUCCUAAUCCUUGGGCUGGUUCUGGAAACAUUACAAUGAAGAGGAAUCAGUCCUGCUUCAUCUCGAUUAUGUGAUUCUGAUGAUGUCCUCUCCUUUAUUUUUAAAUGUAUAUUACCAAUAUUGUAUAAUCAUCUUACAAAGGCACGGCUUGGCUUCAAUUAAUGAGUCUUUUCGUGUAUGAGUGUGUGGUAAUAAAUAAAAAUAGCUUUAAACUGAAAA
Molecule: long non-coding RNA, 1037 nt
Organism: Betta splendens (Siamese fighting fish)
Lineage: Eukaryota; Metazoa; Chordata; Actinopteri; Anabantiformes; Osphronemidae
Exons: 2
Source: RefSeq, a predicted model, not a curated record